AAGACUUGCAACUCGACUUAGACUUUAACAUCCAUGACUUGUGACUUGACUUGGACUUGAGCCUUUUGACUUGACAUGACUUGCUACUUUCCCCAAAACCCAACGAUUAAAAAGUUAUUCAGGAGCGCUCCGUAUCUGUCCGUGUGUGCGAUGACAGUGUGCGCGCUACCUGUCAGAACAACAGCCAAUCAAAUUACAUCCCUGUUAAUUUCGUCACACAGCAUUCAGCCAAUCAAAUUGCAUGAAAACCAACGAAGAGCUCUCAAACGACACGCCAGUGAGGAAAAAUUAUGCCAAAAAUUGUUUUGUUCGGGUUUAAAAACUACGACUUGGUCAACAAAAAACGAAUUGCCGUAUGCAAAGCAUGCAGUUCGUAAGAAGAUUACAGACAGAGACGCAACAACUUCCAACUUCGUUCGACAUUUGAAGUUGCACAAAGAAGGUACUGUCGCCAGCGCCCCCCGCGACCCCGAAAGGGAAUAAGCGGUAGAAAAUGGAUGGAUGGAUGGAUGUUUGGUGACCAGGGUGGCAUCACAUUACAUAUUUACCAUGAAAGAGCAUGCGCUCGUUAUGGUGGUUGUGGUUUUCAUCAGCAAUCUCCUUCUGGCGGUAUGCUCCAUUUGCCGUCCCGGUGGCACCGCCUACCGUUAUGUCGCCAAGGGGCAUAGUCAGGUUGUCAAUGCUGCUGGCGGCUGACAAGCAGGAUGACGGUGACGGCGAGGGAGAGAUGACCACGGCCCCUGUGGCACCAGCCGUCACCACACUGGCACUCACCUGCAAGUGUAAAUGACAGGAUUUGGCUUUAGGAACAAAAAAAGAAAAAGUGGUAAUUUACUCUGUCUUGAACUCUUUUCAACCUCAAUUUAGUUCAGUUUCUUGAACUCACAGUUGCCCUCUUUUUACACUUCACUUGCUUCACAUUGUAACUCCAGGCAGAACCGCUUUUAAUAAUUCAAACAUUUUCACUUCUUGACACACACCAUUUUAGUAUGAACAUGCUGCAGAUCACAAUGCUUUAUAUUUUCACAAGUGUUGCAGCCAACAGCAGGUUGUUCUUUCCCCCUAUUAAACCAUUAUUAUCAUUA
Molecule: long non-coding RNA, 1085 nt
Organism: Nerophis ophidion (straightnose pipefish)
Lineage: Eukaryota; Metazoa; Chordata; Actinopteri; Syngnathiformes; Syngnathidae
Exons: 3
Source: RefSeq, a predicted model, not a curated record